Molecule: transfer RNA, 93 nt
Filed under: Neorhizobium petrolearium
Lineage: Bacteria; Pseudomonadati; Pseudomonadota; Alphaproteobacteria; Hyphomicrobiales; Rhizobiaceae
Description: Rhizobium petrolearium tRNA-OTHER
Source: RNAcentral
GCCAUUAGCAGCGCUUGGCUAACGCUGACAAGCUCAUAUGCAGGCUAAUUUGUAAUCAGGGGGUCGCGGGUUCGAACCCUGCCGGGGGCACCA